CUUCUUCUACCUUUUCUCUCACCCAUAGUCAACACGCUCACAACCGACAUUCUUCACUUUGUGGACCUCAGAUAUGGUAUAGGUCGUAGCAGCAGUUUUUCAUUCUGGUCGGUUCAAACAGCUAGGGUUUGUUUCACAUUUUUCUUAGAGGGAGAGAUGACGGAGAUACAAGAAACAAUUGCCCCUAUUCAUCCCAGAGUUUGGUGAUAAAAAAACAUAUUCUCAAGUAGAAUUCGAUGAAAUUAGAGGAGAAUGAGCUACUUUUGUGCUACAACUAAUCAUUAAUCAUGUUGAUGCAUCAUGAUCACCAUGCAUGGUGAGUCCAUUAGCUACUACAUGAAUUUUUCCACAGGUAUACAAUAUUCGGAGGGUGGAAUGGAGAAUAAAAAGAAAGAAAAAGGCAACAAGAUUUUGGGUUUUUAAGUGCAACUCUUAUGUCAUACGUUGUAGGACAUAAACAUUAAUUUAAUUGGUACUGAGAAUUUUAGAUUUUUAGAUGCGACUUUUAUGUCAUUUUAUAGUGAGUCGGUUUUAUGCUUAUGAAAUAGAGGUAUACAUGAAUCUUGGGAUCUUUAACAUUUCUAAAUCAUCUUUUGGUAUGUAGGCACUCUUCUUUUUUAGUUUUGAUGGGUUUGAUAUGUUGGACGUACUAUCUUUUUGUAAACAUUUGAUAUACAAAUAUUAUUAGAUGCUCAA
Molecule: long non-coding RNA, 696 nt
Organism: Vitis riparia (riverbank grape)
Lineage: Eukaryota; Viridiplantae; Streptophyta; Magnoliopsida; Vitales; Vitaceae
Exons: 4
Source: RefSeq, a predicted model, not a curated record